UACGUAGGGGGCGAGCGUUGUCCGGAAUCAUUGGGCGUAAAGCGCGUGUAGGCGGCCCGGUAAGUCCGCUGUGAAAGUCCAGGGCUCAACCCUGGGAUGCCGGUGGAUACUGUCGGGCUCGAGUCCGGAAGAGGCGAGUGGAAUUCCAGGUGUAGCGGUGAAAUGCGUAGAUAUCUGGAGGAACACCGGUGGCGAAGGCGGCAUCCUGGACCGGUAUUGACGCUGAGGCGCGAAAGCCAGGGGAGCAAACGGG
RNAcentral lists this ribosomal RNA (253 nucleotides) under uncultured bacterium. RNAcentral's name for it is "partial 16S ribosomal RNA". It matches the Rfam family "Bacterial small subunit ribosomal RNA", at positions 524 to 776 of the family's 1533-position model. The record is from RNAcentral.